UCCAGGCGUCGAGCGGCGGACGGGUGAGUAAUGCAUAGGAAUCUGCCCGGUAGUGGGGGAUAACCUGGGGAAACCCAGGCUAAUACCGCAUACGUCCUACGGGAGAAAGCAGGGGAUCUUCGGACCUUGCGCUAUCGGAUGAGCCUAUGUCGGAUUAGCUUGUUGGUGAGGUAAUGGCUCACCAAGGCGACGAUCCGUAGCUGGUCUGAGAGGAUGAUCAGCCACAUCGGGACUGAGACACGGCCCGAACUCCUACGGGAGGCAGCAGUGGGGAAUAUUGGACAAUGGGCGAAAGCCUGAUCCAGCCAUGCCGCGUGUGUGAAGAAGGCUUUCGGGUUGUAAAGCACUUUCAGUGAGGAAGAAGGCCUUGGGGCUAAUACCCCCGAGGAAGGACAUCACUCACAGAAGAAGCACCGGCUAACUCCGUGCCAGCAGCCGCGGUAAUACGGAGGGUGCGAGCGUUAAUCGGAAUUACUGGGCGUAAAGCGCGCGUAGGCGGCGUGAUAAGCCGGUUGUGAAAGCCCCGGGCUCAACCUGGGAACGGCAUCCGGAACUGUCAGGCUAGAGUGCAGAAGAGGAAGGUAGAAUUCCCGGUGUAGCGGUGAAAUGCGUAGAGAUCGGGAGGAAUACCAGUGGCGAAGGCGGCCUUCUGGACUGACACUGACGCUGAGGUGCGAAAGCGUGGGUAGCAAACAGGAUUAGAUACCCUGGUAGUCCACGCCGUAAACGAUGUCGACUAGCCGUUGGGGUCCUAGAGACCUUUGUGGCGCAGUUAACGCGAUAAGUCGACCGCCUGGGGAGUACGGCCGCAAGGUUAAAACUCAAAUGAAUUGACGGGGGCCCGCACAAGCGGUGGAGCAUGUGGUUUAAUUCGAUGCAACGCGAAAAACCUUACCUACCCUUGACAUCGUGCGAACUUUCCAGAGAUGGAUUGGUGCCUUCGGGAGCGCACAGACAGGUGCUGCAUGGCUGUCGUCAGCUCGUGUUGUGAAAUGUUGGGUUAAGUCCCGUAACGAGCGCAACCCUUGUCCCUAUUUGCCAGCGAUUCGGUCGGGAACUCUAGGGAGACUGCCGGUGACAAACCGGAGGAAGGUGGGGACGACGUCAAGUCAUCAUGGCCCUUACGGGUAGGGCUACACACGUGCUACAAUGGCCGGUACAAAGGGUUGCGAAGCCGCGAGGUGGAGCUAAUCCCGAAAAGCCGGUCUCAGUCCGGAUCGGAGUCUGCAACUCGACUCCGUGAAGUCGGAAUCGCUAGUAAUCGUGAAUCAGAAUGUCACGGUGAAUACGUUCCCGGGCCUUGUACACACCGCCCGUCACACCAUGGGAGUGGACUGCACCAGA
RNAcentral lists this ribosomal RNA (1344 nucleotides) under uncultured Halomonas sp. RNAcentral's name for it is "bacterial SSU rRNA". It matches the Rfam family "Bacterial small subunit ribosomal RNA", at positions 83 to 1424 of the family's 1533-position model. The record is from RNAcentral. Lineage: Bacteria; Pseudomonadati; Pseudomonadota; Gammaproteobacteria; Oceanospirillales; Halomonadaceae.